CCUGAACGCUGGCGGCGUGGCUAAGACAUGCAAGUCGCACGGAUGUAGUAAUACAUCAGUGGCGGACGGGUGAGUAAUUUAUCGCUAAUGUACCCUGGAGCCUGGGAUAGCUGUCCGAAAGGACAGGUAAUACCAGAUGAAAUGAGCCUGUCGCAUGACAGGAAUCUCAAAGCAGCAAUGCACUCUUGGAGCAGGCGAUAUCGUAUCAGCUAGUUGGUGAGGUAACGGCUCACCAAGGCGAUGACGCGUAGCUGGUCUGAGAGGACGACCAGCCACAUCGGAACUGAGACACUGUCCGGACUCCUACGGGGGGCUGCAGUAACGAAUCUUCCACAAUGCACGAAAGUGUGAUGGAGCGACGCCGCGUGUAGGACGAAGUCCU
This 382-nucleotide ribosomal RNA is filed under the name uncultured bacterium. RNAcentral's name for it is "partial 16S ribosomal RNA". It matches the Rfam family "Bacterial small subunit ribosomal RNA", at positions 30 to 417 of the family's 1533-position model. The record is from RNAcentral.